Molecule: unclassified non-coding RNA, 659 nt
Filed under: Xanthomonas phaseoli pv. dieffenbachiae
Lineage: Bacteria; Pseudomonadati; Pseudomonadota; Gammaproteobacteria; Lysobacterales; Lysobacteraceae
Description: partial contains 16S-23S ribosomal RNA intergenic spacer and 23S ribosomal RNA
Rfam family: Bacterial large subunit ribosomal RNA (bases 361-659)
Source: RNAcentral
GCAGGGGGUCGUCGGUUCGAUCCCGACAGGCUCCACCAUUUGAGUGAAACGACUUUGGGUCUGUAGCUCAGGUGGUUAGAGCGCACCCCUGAUAAGGGUGAGGUCGGUGGUUCGAGUCCUCCCAGACCCACCACUCUGAAUGUAGUGCACACUUAAGAAUUUAUAUGGCUCAGCGUUGAGGCUGAGACAUGUUCUUUUAUAACUUGUGACGUAGCGAGCGUUUGAGAUAUCUAUCUAAACGUGUCGUUGAGGCUAAGGCGGGGACUUCGAGUCCCUAAAUAAUUGAGUCGUAUGUUCGCGUUGGUGGCUUUGUACCCCACACAACACGGCGUAUGGCCCCGAGGCAACUUGGGGUUAUAUGGUCAAGCGAAUAAGCGCACACGGUGGAUGCCUAGGCGGUCAGAGGCGAUGAAGGACGUGGUAGCCUGCGAAAAGUGUCGGGGAGCUGGCAACAAGCUUUGAUCCGGCAAUGUCCGAAUGGGGAAACCCACUGCUUCGGCAGUAUCCUGCAGUGAAUUCAUAGCUGCUGGAAGCGAACCCGGUGAACUGAAAUAUCUAAGUAACCGGAGGAAAAGAAAUCAACCGAGAUUCCCUAAGUAGUGACGAGCGAACGGGGAGCAGCCCUUAAGCUGGAAUGGCUUUAGAAAAACAAUCUGGAA